RNAcentral lists this long non-coding RNA (737 nucleotides) under Malus domestica (apple). RNAcentral's name for it is "long non-coding RNA (MDOM_LNC009248)". Lineage: Eukaryota; Viridiplantae; Streptophyta; Magnoliopsida; Rosales; Rosaceae. The record is from RNAcentral.
ACGCUUUUGUUCUUUGCGCCGGUUGCGGGAACAGUUUGAGCCUUCCUUGAUGCCAUUAAUUUUCGAAGUGUGCUUGAAUUUCGGAGAAAGAGAUGAGAGGCAGAGAUGGUCCCACCGGGCGUGCCAAUUUGUGAACACGGAAAAUUCCUGAAACGAAUGAGACAAGAACAACGUGCACAAACAAAUAUUAUGUAUUUUGAUGAUUUUGGGUUACAAUCUCUCUCAAAUUUAUCCUCUGAUUCGAUCUCCGUAAGGUGUUGAUUGGUGGAUGUGUGAUUGAUCCAAAGGGCCGUUGGGCUUGAUCUAAGGAUGAACGUUCUUCAAGGGCCGUGGACUUGAUCUUGAAGGUGGAUUUGAGCGGAUCUUCAAAGGGGCUUUUGGGCUUGAUCUUUGAAGAACAGUGAUGAACGGAUCUCCAAGGGCUUUUGGGCUUGAUCUUGAAGAACAGUGAUGAACGGAUCUUCAAGGAGUUUUGGGCUUGAUCUUGAAGAACGGUUGGAUUUGUGGAUUUGUCGACGUUGUUGAUCCAAAGGGCCGUUGGGGCUUGAUCUUGGAUGAACGGAUGAUGAACGAUGGUGCUUUCUUCAAGGGCCGUCGGGGCUUGAUCUUGGAAGAACGAUGAACGAAGAACGAAGAACACUUUCUUCAAGGGCCGUCGGGGCUUGAUCUUGAAUUGGUGGAUGAUUGUUGAUCCAAAGGGCCGUUGGGGCUUGAUCUUGGAAGAACGAUGAACGAAG